CCUACGGGGUGCAGCAGUGGGGAAUAUUGCGCAAUGGGCGAAAGCCUGACGCAGCGACGCCGCGUGAGGGAUGAAGGUCUUCGGAUCGUAAACCCCUGUCAGCAGGGAAGAACGGUCACUGUGUUAAUCAGCAGCUAAUUGACGGUACCUGCAAAGGAAGCACCGGCUAACUCCGUGCCAGCAGCCGCGGUAAUACGGAGGGUGCGAGCGUUAAUCGGAAUUACUGGGCGUAAGGGGUGCGUAGAUGGCAUAGUAAGUCUAUUGUAAAAAUGCUGGGCUCAACCCAGUAGGGCAAACGAUACUGGAAAGCUAGAGUAUGACAGAGGCAAGUGGAACUACAGGUGUAGCGGUGAAAUGCGUAGAUAUAUGUAAGAACACCAGUGGCGAAGGCGGCUUGCUGGGUCGAUACUGACGUUGAGGCACGAAAGCGUGGGGAGCAAACAGGAUUAGAUACCCGUGUAGUC
Molecule: ribosomal RNA, 464 nt
Filed under: uncultured bacterium
Lineage: Bacteria
Description: partial 16S ribosomal RNA
Rfam family: Bacterial small subunit ribosomal RNA
Source: RNAcentral